This 420-nucleotide ribosomal RNA is filed under the name Babesia venatorum (nom. ined.). RNAcentral's name for it is "SSU rRNA". It matches the Rfam family "Eukaryotic small subunit ribosomal RNA", at positions 558 to 1028 of the family's 1831-position model. The record is from RNAcentral. Lineage: Eukaryota; Apicomplexa; Aconoidasida; Piroplasmida; Babesiidae.
AGUCUGGUGCCAGCAGCCGCGGUAAUUCCAGCUCCAAUAGCGUAUAUUAAACUUGUUGCAGUUAAAAAGCUCGUAGUUGAAUUUCUGCGUUAUCGAGUUAUUGACUCUUGUCUUUAAUCGAUUUCGCUUUUGGGAUUUAUCCCUUUUUACUUUGAGAAAAUUAGAGUGUUUCAAGCAGACUUUUGUCUUGAAUACUUCAGCAUGGAAUAAUAGAGUAGGACUUUGGUUCUAUUUUGUUGGUUUUUGAACCUUAGUAAUGGUUAAUAGGAACGGUUGGGGGCAUUCGUAUUUAACUGUCAGAGGUGAAAUUCUUAGAUUUGUUAAAGACGAACUACUGCGAAAGCAUUUGCCAAGGACGUUUCCAUUAAUCAAGAACGAAAGUUAGGGGAUCGAAGACGAUCAGAUACCGUCGUAGUCCUA